UUGUCUGUGUACCAGGCUCUUGAUUGUAACACUGGCCGUUAAUUAAAGCCUUUUUUUUUUUUUUUUAAUAAAAGAGUACAGACCAAACCAAGUGUAUCUGUGGGCCAGAUGUAGCCCUCCUGGUGACCUUGGCAGGGGCUGGAGUGCCCCUGUAGGCCUUGUAAAAGCAGGGAGACAGGUGCUGGCCUCCAAGAUGAGCCAGGUGGGGAGCAGAGGGUCCUGGAGGCGGGCGGCGUGGGGUUGGACGGUGCGGGGAGCCCCCCGACUGCAGACGGGAAACACCGAGGGAAGCACCAGGUGCUCACGUGAUGAUAGAAAUGAUCAUGGGUGAGCAGCAGACCUCGCCCACCCCUCGCCCCAGUGUAAGCAGAGAACAGAGGCUUCUCAGAUCUUGAAGGACUAACUGUUCCAGAAAGAGAACGGUGCUUGCAGUGCGUCUGGCAACCAGUGGGAACACAGAGAGGAAGCUUCAUUUGUUCAGGAACAAAUCUGUGGGUCCCUGUUGAGGGCCGGGCGGGGGAUAGAACAAUAGCGGCUACGUGUGCUGAGCAUCUUCUGGGGACUCUCCUGCGAGUGAGCUGCUUAAUCUUUGUAGCCACGCCGUGGAGUGUGGGUGGUAGGAUGACUCUCGUUUUGCAGACAAGGACAUUGGGUCACAGAGAGGGCAGGCAACUUGGCUGAUGUCACCCAGCCGGUGAGUGGCGGCUCUGAUGUGGACACAGGAGGUAUACAGGCGGAACCCGCGCUGAGCCCCUGGUCCGUGCUGCCUUUUGGAAGGAGAACCAUCCUCUGAAUCCUGGGAGAUGGCGUGGAGGUUAGAGCUGCUUGUUCUGAGCCUCCCAGAAGACUGUGGGCUGGUUCUGCCCAUAAUCGUGUCUGUUUAUUGAGCACUUACUAUGUAACAGGCACGUCGCAUGGAGCGGCUCAGGCAGGCAUGCUGUCCCUACCCUGUGAACAAAGCUUGGAGGUGUUGAGUGCCUUCCCCAGGGAGCAGACGGUCACUAGUGACUCUGACCAAGCUUCCCCUGUGUGCCACCUGCAGGAGGUACUAUUAACCCCCUUUACAGAUGAGGAAACUGAGGCCGAAGGUCACACCACUUAGCAGAGAGGGCGAUACUAAUGCCUGCUUCCUAGGGUUUUUGCAAAGAUAAAUGACUUAAGAUGGGAAGAUGCAUAUAACGGGGCCUGGCAUGCACCGAGCACUCCCCGUGUGUGCAUCAUCCGUGUUUCCUGUUAUUAUUUAUCUUCCUCUGGGCCAUCCUGUUAGGAUAAAGAAGGGAGCCUUUUUUUCUCGCGUGGAAGUUUGGUUUCAUGAACUCGAUACUGAUGAUACGAUGACACGCGUGCUCGUCAUUUGCUGGCAGGGGCCCUGGGUGAGGUCAGAGGACUCGCUCAGGGUUGCGUAGCUGAGAUAUGGUGGAGCUGAAUUUAUAUUAAAGUUUAUUUGUGGCUGUGCUGGGUCUUUGUUGCGCUGUUUGGGCUUUCUCCAGUUGCAGUGAGCGGAGGCCUCCAUCUGGUUGUGGGGCGUGGGCGUCUCCCUGAGGGGGCUUCUCUUGUUGCCAAGCACAGGUUCUAGGGCACGCGGGCUCAGUAGUUGUGGCCCAUGGGCUUCGUUGCCCCAUGGCACGUGGCAUCUGCCCAGACUGGGGAUCGAACCUGUGUCCCCUGCACUGGCAGCUGGAUUCUUAACCGCUGGACCACCAGGGAAGUCCUGGAGCUGAAUCUGAAAGCAUACCUGUCGGGCUCCUUGGCCAAACUAUUUCCCCUGCUGUGUAUGGUCCUCAGGCUCACUGCUUAGGCGUGGCUGAUUCUGAGCAUUCUGACUCAGGUUUGAAAAAGUUUUUGUGGGGGUAUGUGUGUGUGUGUAUGUACAUAGAUAUAAUAUUUUUAUGUAAAUGUAUAAAUACACAUAUGUAUACUAUAUGUAUAUAUGUGUUUAUGUGCAUCAGGUAUGUGUAAUGUGUAGUCAUAUAUAUGUAAUUUUUGUUCUGUUAUUUUUCUUAUCUUAGUAUGUAUUCAGCAUUUGAAAAAUAUAUAAAAAAGAAAGCAGACAGCCCCCUUGUCACCUGGAGAGAACCAGUCUCAUUGCUUUGGUGUUUUCCUCCCAGUAAAGUUUUCCCCACGCUUGCACACUUAAGCGCGUAGCACCUAGCUCCUGCCUUGCCCCCUCCUUUGUUGAGUCUCUGUUUAUUUUCAUGCUAUCCGGGGGAAAACAGCUAAGAGCCAAGUAAGGUUGGGGACUGCUUUACGCGCCUUCUGUGUGUAAGUGGGUACAGUGCCGCCAUGAUUUCCAGGCAAGACCUGAAGGCACAGAGAGGUUAAGUCACUUACCUAAGGUCACACAGGAAGUGGGUAAAGCUUGAACUGAGCCUGGAGGCUCUAGCUCCAAAGCCUGCACCCUUAGAAAUCUCUGAUGAUCCUGAGAUAAUUUUCCAGGUUGCUCCUAGGGGCUUCUGUUGUUGCCUAGGUAUUUUGGAGAAAAAAAAAAUCAGGAAAUAAAUCUAGUCUGUUUGCACAUGAAGACACAUUUUCCCCUUGCCAGGGCGCUUGGUCUCGGGCAGCGCAUCGCCCCUCCUCGCACCUGGGUUCCUGCCCACCGUGGGUUGUUCUCGUCACACUAGUUGGUGUGACUGAACAAGAAUCAGCUGACCCCUGGGGCCUCAGGGUCCCUCACGGCGAGUUGGGCAGCGUGUUACUUCUCUGUCAGGAUCUAGAGGAGAUGAGCAUGUGUGAGACAGUGCUGAAUACAGCCACCUCUGGUUUCCUGUAUCACUCACUUUUGGGGAAGGAAGUGCAUUCACAUGAUGCAGAAUUCAAAAGAUACAAGAGACGCACAGGACAAGACUUACCUCCCUGCUCAGACCCGGGGGGCGGGGCACCCGUCUCCCUGAGGCGCCAACGUCGCCAGUUUCUUGAGUCCUUCAGGAGGCGGUUUGAGUCCGUCCGUGUUGUCAUUGCCAUCAUCACUGGUGUUGUAAUUUAUAAAGGGUUUGGCAGAAUGCCCUGCAUAUUUAAAAUUGCCAAUAAAUGAUUCGAUUAAGGCCAUUAUUACUGUGGAGCUUAAGAAGGCAUCACAUUUUGAUUUUCCGACUAGGAGGUGAAACUGAGUAGAUCUUCUUGGCAUCAUUUAUUUAGCUAAAUAGACCUCUCUCAUUCAAACUUAGGUUGCUGUUAAGGGAAUUACAUCUCCCUAGUUUAACAUUUAUUGUCAAACUGUAAAUACUUCCCUAAUGAAUACAAGUUUUGGAAGCUGCCUCAAGUAAAUGUUUGUUAAGCCUUGGCUUUACCUGUCGCUAGGAAUAGUGAUGUAAAAGACUCCAUCAGCCUACACUGGCUGUAUCCCACAUCUAUGCCUGUAUCCUUUCUCUCUCCAUCCAAAAAUGAUACAUUGACAAUAAAAGCUAUGGAUGGUAUCAGUGUGGGCAGGAUAGCCUGGUUAAAAAGUAGCGAGAAAAGCAUGGAGUAGGAUUGAGUGGUUUUCCAGCCUCUCUUAUUUAUUCAACAAACAUUGAUAGGGCUUUCACCACACGCCAGGCUCCAUGCUGGAUUCUCCUCACUCAGUUCAGUCCAUGGACCAAUAGCACAGACUUACCCUGGGAGUUUGUUCAAAAUGCAGAGUCCCAGGUUUCUCCACAGUCUGCCAAGUUGGAACCUGCCUUGUAUAAGAUCCCCUGAAGAUUCAUGUCCUUUUGGCAAAACUUUGCUGACUGGAGAUGGGGAUAGAUUAGUGAACAGAACAGACAAAAUCCCAUGUUCUCACAGAGUUGGUGUUCUGAUGAAGCGAGACACACAGCAAAACAAAUAAAUCUAGUGAUAAAAAAAAAGCAAUAAGAAGAAAAAUAAGGCAGGAUGGGAGAUGGAAGAUGAUUGUGAGUUGGUGAAGAUGCUGUCUAGGGAAGAACUUUCUGAAGAGGUAAGAUUUAACCAGAUUUUCGAGUCAGGGAGAGAAUAAGUUGUGUCACUGUCUUGAGGGAAAGUGCUGGAGGAAGGGAACGGUGAGUGCAAAGGCCCUGAGGCAGGAGCCUUCUUGGUAUCCACUUUGGACAUUAGUUCAGAGGUGGGUUCUGAUCAGGAAUUAAGUAUUAAUAGUGAACAUGUCCCCCCCCCCAACCCUGCAUAUGACCUUUGCUGUGGUAUUUGAGUGCCUUUUAUAUAACCAUGGGAUGUAGACAGAGGUCCCCAAGUCACAGCCCAGGGAAGUCUUCUGUGUCAUUGGGCACAGUUGCACAGGCUGUGCACUGCACAAGGGCAUCCAUUCACAUUUGCAUAUUUGUCAAGACAGUGUCCUGACACAUGCCUUCUAAGGGUGCACGUGGAGAGGUGUCUUUUCCUAAUUUGUACAAGAACGCCAGGCAACCUAGCGAUGGCCCUGGUGAUAUAAUUCUUAAGAAGAGGAAAAAUCUGAGUGUGAGUAUGUUUCAGUUAGGGACAUUCAUCAGCCUUUGAUAUACUACCUGGUCCUUUAAGACAUUUGACUUUACCUGUUGGUGGCAAGAAGGGCAUUUCUGCUCGUCUGAAAGGCCUCCCUUCUCCGGUCCUUUCUUUCUCCCGUGGGGGUUUUGUUGCUUUCUCCUUCUGCCCUCUCACCAGCCGGCGGGGAGCCUCGUCAGCUUCCACCUCUGCCCGAGGCUGAGGGUGCAGCCCGCCCGCACGCUUCUCCUCUCUGAGCCGUGGGCGCCUUGGCUCUGAACCAGGGGGCGCUGCUCUGGAAGCGCCCUCCCACCCCUGCACCUCCGUGAGUCUGUGGCUCAGAUCAGUAGGUGUCACCGAGUAAGAAGUGCCUGCGUUUAGUUCUGUUCGCUUUGAGGUGGAAGGUGGAGGCUCCAGCUUUUUGUCGCCUCGGCCUGCAUCACUUGCAUCAUUUCCUACCUCCAGAGUUGACUCAUUCAUGGACUUGAAGCUGACUGGUUUAGAGUUUGGGGAUCCUUGAGCUAGAAGGAGACUUAGAAAUCAUCUAGCUGAAUGACUGGUUUAGAGUUGGGGG
This is a long non-coding RNA of Cervus elaphus (red deer), 4984 nucleotides long. RefSeq lists it as uncharacterized. The record is from RefSeq and is a predicted model, not a curated record. The transcript has 3 exons. NCBI's taxonomy places the organism in Eukaryota, Metazoa, Chordata, Mammalia, Artiodactyla, Cervidae.